Long non-coding RNA from Lolium rigidum, 979 nucleotides. RefSeq lists it as uncharacterized. The transcript is spliced from 4 exons. NCBI's taxonomy places the organism in Eukaryota, Viridiplantae, Streptophyta, Magnoliopsida, Poales, Poaceae. The record is from RefSeq and is a predicted model, not a curated record.
GUCCUCGCUUCCGUCCUCCUCCCUCCCUCCUCCCUCCCGUCCUCCACCCCUCGAUUCAGUUUGUCGGCGUCGAUCUGGCCAACCAGAAACCACGGCUGAGUCCCCCAGGUUGUUGCGAGAAGCUGUGGAGAAGUUUCAAUGCCGCGGCUCCCGCGGAUUGAUGAUUCCGGUGCGGUGGUUCCCGUUGGUAGAAGUUGUUUCGGGGCUGCGCCUCCCCGAAUCGUCGAUACUGUGCCCGGCCGACCUUCGUGGGCGAGUCUGCGACGAGAUUUGGCGUCGCGCCUGCGCGAAUCGACGAUUCUGAGGCCGCUUGAGCUGUCGGCAGAGAAUUCGGGGAGGCAGAGCAUCAGCUAUUCGUAGUUCUGAAUUUGUCCUUUUCUACAAGCAGACUUUUCUAACACCAGCGCUUGGUCAUAAUGGAAUCUUCACCGCAAAACUUGUCCAAGGCAGGACAGUCGAUAACUCGAAAUACAUUAAGAUGAAGGAGAAGUUGCAGCUCCAGCUUAAAGUCAGUGCUGAUGAAACAGAAGUGCACCAAGAUCAUCAUAUUGCAUCUCAGUUACCAGAAACAAAGGAAGUUCCAACUGUAGGUGAGCAUGGUGAAGGCGCAGCUGAUGUUGGUGAUGGCCUUGCAGGAAGUGUACCCUCUAAAAAAAUAAACCAGUUUCAAACAGUUCUGGGAGAAGCCUUGAAGAAAAAUGAUGUUUUAAAAAGUUCUGGGAGAGAUUCCUACAGCCAUGGGAGAAGCCUGGGGAAGUUUGUACAUCCUGCUAUGCUUUGUAUAGGUUCUUAUGUGCAAACAGAUAGACAUGAUGAUUUUGGCAGAGCACAGGUUCUACAAGUUUGAUGUUUUUUCGCUAUUCUAACACCGGUAUGGUUUCCGGUGGACAUGGACACGCUUCUCCAAGUUUAGUUCUAUGUACAUGCAGUUUUAUCAGUGACUAAACUGAUGCAACUAUUAUCCUGGUUACAAAUAUUA